This 227-nucleotide unclassified non-coding RNA is filed under the name Hevea brasiliensis (rubber tree). Lineage: Eukaryota; Viridiplantae; Streptophyta; Magnoliopsida; Malpighiales; Euphorbiaceae. The record is from RNAcentral.
UACUUUUAAUCUUCGUCAACGACUGAGACAUCUUCAAGUUCCGGCGACAGGUUAGUAUUCUCGAUGGAACUCUAGGCAAGUUCACAAUAUCACUAGUGUUUCCGGUUGAUGGCAGCCUAGAAAGGCUGCGGGUACUUGCCUGUCUUUCAAUCACUAUAUCUGCAAUUCUGCCAACACCAACGCUAUUGGUAUCAAUUUCGUUGAAUUUGCCUCUCAUGAAAUUGCAG